RNAcentral lists this ribosomal RNA (719 nucleotides) under uncultured bacterium. Its description in RNAcentral is "bacterial SSU rRNA". It matches the Rfam family "Bacterial small subunit ribosomal RNA", at positions 1 to 707 of the family's 1533-position model. The record is from RNAcentral.
AAUUCGAUUAGUUUGAUCCUGGCUCAGGACGAACGCUGGCGGCGUGCUUAACACAUGCAAGUGGAGCGACGAACCAGGCUUCGGCCUGGGGCAAAGCCGCGAACGGGUGAGUAACACGUGGGUAACCUGCCCUGAUGAUCGGGACAACCCGGGGAAACCCGGGCUAAUACCGAAUGUGCCCGCGAGCCACAAGGCUCGCGCGGAAAGGAAGCUUUGGCCUCCGCAUCGGGAUGGGCCCGCGGCCCAUUAGCUUGUUGUGGGGUAAUGGCCUACCAAGGCAGCAAUGGGCAGCUGGUCUGAGAGGACGAUCAGCCACACUGGGACUGAGACACGGCCCAGACUCCUACGGGAGGCAGCAGUGGGGAAUCUUGCGCAAUGCGCGAAAGCGUGACGCAGCAACGCCGCGUGGGGGAAGACGGCCUUCGGGUUGUAAACCCCUUUCAGUUGGGACGAAGCUUCGUCGGUGAAUAGCCGGCUGGAGUGACGGUACCUUCAGAAGAAGCCCCGGCUAACUACGUGCCAGCAGCCGCGGUAAUACGUAGGGGGCAAGCGUUGUCCGGAAUCAUUGGGCGUAAAGAGCGUGUAGGCGGCCCGAUAAGUCCGCCGUGAAAGUCCAGGGCUCAACCCUGGAAUGCCGGUGGAUACUGUCGGGCUAGAGUCCGGAAGGGGCGAGUGGAAUUCCUGGUGUAGCGGUGAAAUGCGCAGAUAUCAGGAGGAAC